AAAAAAAAAAAAAAAAAAAUACAUUAAAAAAUUAUUAAAAAUUAGAAGAAAAAAAAUUCUGACCCCAUUAAAAUUGUUCUUCCUUCUUUUUUUGUCCCCACCGAACAAAAGCCCAAUAUCAAGUUAUCAACCCAUAUAGCAAACAAAAAUAUUAAUAUAUAAACCUAAAAUAACUAACUUAAUAAAUUAAAGACCUAAACCUAGUUUGUUGUUAUUUUUUCUCCUAUU
Molecule: long non-coding RNA, 228 nt
Filed under: Capsella rubella
Lineage: Eukaryota; Viridiplantae; Streptophyta; Magnoliopsida; Brassicales; Brassicaceae
Description: long non-coding RNA (CRUB_LNC003853)
Source: RNAcentral